This is a long non-coding RNA of Haplochromis burtoni (Burton's mouthbrooder), 1339 nucleotides long. RefSeq lists it as uncharacterized. Lineage: Eukaryota; Metazoa; Chordata; Actinopteri; Cichliformes; Cichlidae. The record is from RefSeq and is a predicted model, not a curated record. The transcript has 5 exons.
AUCACACAUUUUGUCACCUUACACCUCAGCUUGAUCUGUACCCGCUCGCUGUUUGAGUGCUUUGGACAUUUCGUUUUUAUUUUUUUAAUUAAAAAAAAGUCUGCGGUGACACGCCAUCUCCUCACAGUAUUAAGUGAAGUAGAACAAGAGUGACUUUCGUUGACACGAAACUUUUAAUUAUUCUGAAGUGAUUGCAGUUAAAACUCAUAACGUCACGUUGCGUUUGCAUCCUGCCACCGAACAGAGGGCUCAUUUCAUGGCUGCAAUUGGACUGAGAUAUUAAGCUGAAUUUCAAAGAGACUGUGAUACCUGGUGUAAUUUUACAUGACAGAAGCUGAAGCCUCAGCAGGCACCUAACUGUUCAAGAUGUGGAAAAACCUCCUGCUUUCUGCAGUUGGUCCUGGAAAAAUCGGCACCGUCGCGACAGUCGUCGGGGUGUUCAUUGCCACUGUUCUUCUGCAGACCGCGACGUGCGCUUGCAGAACUUUUGAAUGUAAUGAAAUCGUCGUCGUGCCUUUUUUUUUAGUAUUUUUCCUGAUGCUCCUGAUAGACCAGACAUUUCGGAGCACCGCGAAACAUCCAUCUACGUUUUUAUGCCUUGUACUCAAGCGCGUUAUCAGAGCGUUUCUAAUCAGCCUGCUGUGGAUUGUAGCAUUGUUGAUUUUCACGGACUGGUAUGGUUGUUGUAACAUUGAUGAAAACACGAGUAAGCUGUUCUGCAAAUCUAAGAACCUCACAACCGAACAAGAAGCUCGAAAAGCUGAAGUGGAAAUCAAGUCAAGGCUUGCUGGUUACUCUCUGCUCCUCAGCAUGACUGUUGUCGCUUUCUUCAUGACUUGGAGUGGGUGGAGAAAAUGGUUUAAAAAAAAAUACAGUUGGUGCAACAAGAAAACUUUUUACUACAAACUGAUUUUGGAAGAAGAGAAAAAAGUUCUGGAGGAGCUUUUGAGGAAAGAAGCAAAUGAAACUCUGACUAAAGAAAUCACGAGCAACAUAAAAAGGAAAGACUGGGACGGCUGUUUUAACGUUGCUCAACAAAUGAUCAGUAAUGCAAAACAUCAAAAACCAGAAGCAACCAACCAGCAGAUCAACUGGAUCAGUGAGGGGAGCUCCAGCAGAGGGGGACAGCAUCAUCAAGCAGCAGCACAUCAGCAGGCUCAAAACUAUGAACUUGAUGAAGUUGCACAAGAAAACACAGACACCAUGCCGUUAUUUAACGAAUCCGCCUGAAAGACACAGUUGACACAGUGACGCAGCUCCAGAAACAACGCAAGCGACCACAGACAAGUUAUACACCUUGACAGAGUGGGCGCUCCUUGUCGUCACAGCUGAGAGGGGA